AGUACUAAAUCAGGAUCAGGACAACCAUUUGAACUGAGUAAACUAACAUAUCUACAUCCACAUCUGUGGGUCUCCUUUGCUUCUGGGCUACUCACUGGCAAAAGUCCUGAGCGGCUCUCACAAUAUCUGCUUUUCCAUCUUCCGGCAAUAGCACCUUCACUGCCAAAUGGCAAUUUAAAACUUGAUCAUCUUUGUCAUUACUAUUUGCAAACUCUGGUGAGCAUUUUGAACAAUCUAGGCCCAGAAGUUCUUGCUGUUGUUUUAAAAUUCCAUCCAUCAAUCUGGAAUUAUUUCUUUUGAAAAUACCUUGGUGGUCGUAGACGCUAAUGUAGGAGAUGCCCACGGCCAUACACCACACCACGAGGCUCUCGAUGUCCGAGAAGCUGGGUUCCUGCUCCACCUCGGUGAUCACCAGGCCCAUGUGCACAGGCAGCUUCUCCAGGGAAGGGCCGUCCGCGCGCCAGCGCACCUGGUGGUGGGCUGCGGGCAGGCACGACCCCCGGCGCGGGUGCGGGUGGUGAUGGCGGUUCCUGCAGACGCCUGGGACUUGCGGAGCGUGAAGCCGAGCGGCGCUAGGACCGCGGCAGAGGCGGCGCGCCGGCACAGUCGCCAGAUCCAGUUCCAAGUGCCGAACCGAACGCGGAGCCAGGAGAUGCAGUCUCACUCUGUGGCCCAGGCUGGAGUGCAGUGGCGUGAUCUUGGCUCACUGCAACCUCCAUCUCCUGAGUUCAAGCAAUUCUCCUGUCUCAGCCUCCUAAAUAGUUGGAAUUACAGGCAAGCACCACCACGCUCAGCUACAGGAAUUUAGCCAAUUCAGAGGAAAUCUUCCCCAUAAUUAUGGAACUUUCUUACAGAUUUUACCAAGUCUGGUCAACCCAAUAAGAAAAAGACUGAAAUAACAACAACAACUUCAACAAAUAAAAAAAAACAGUUAAGCUAAAUAAACAGAUGAUUGCAGAAUUUAUGUGAUUACUGGGUACUCUAAUGGUAAGGAGAAAUUAAGACCAGCUAGUUGUUAAUCUUAACUUUUAGUCAUUAAGGAGAAUUUCCAAGACAAAACUGCAAUCCAGCUGCUUACCUAGGAAUACGGCUUAGGCUGAAAACUUCUAUCGUCUUAGAAAUGGGAAUAAACCUCACACUCACCGUCCCUGUUGGAAGCAAGCUGAAACUCCAAAAAAAAGAAAAAGACUAAUACAAAUGGAAUUACAUUAUAAUUAUAACUUUUGUUUAUUAAUAUGUACUAUUGAGAUAAAACAAUUCACAAAAUGGGGAAAAGAGAAUAUAUACAAACACAUACAUAUCAUAUAUAUGUAACAGCUACACAGCAACAAGAAAAAAAUAGCCUAAGUGAAACAAAUUUUUUCUGUCCCAAGGACUUGAACAAGCACCAUACUUUAGAGGAUGCAAAAUGAGAGGUUAAACGUAUGGUCCCCAGUUUGUUCGUUCACAAUCUUCUGAUCAGGAAGUAGGUUCUGUGGCCUUGAAUAUAUUGUGGCAGUGACUGUUUUGACCCAUCGAGUGUGGUGAAAUGAUGAUAUGAGAUUUCUGAGGCCAGAUCAUAAGAGGCCAUGGAGCGCCAUCUCGUUUUCAAGAGGCCCCCUGUUGGUAUGCUCCAUACUAGAAUCAAGUCUUCAUGCUGUGAGAGGCCAAACUACAUGGCCAGCCCAAGUGUAGGUGCUCCAAUCAAGUGCCAGGUGAGCCCAGACUUGCACUGAUCCCAGCCCAGGAGCCAGACAUACGAGUGAGUAAGGAGUCUCCAGAUGAUUCCAGCCUUCAGCCCCCAGUGCUGGGUAGCAGAAACACACUCUCAUGGCUGAGCCCUAAUUUCUUGGGCCACAAAACUGGUAUAAGAAACUGACUGUUGCUUAAUGCCCCAGGGUGGCCUGUUAUGCAUCAAUAGUAACUAGAACAUGGCCAAAUAUCAAUAAGAUAAUCAACAUUUAAAAUCACCAGAUAUAUAAACAUUAAAACCAGUUAGAUGUUUUUGUCUAAGUUAUUUUUACUUGGUAGCAAGUCAUCCCAAAGUUAACAUAUUAAUAUAACAACAAUUAUUUAUUAUUCAUGACUCUGUGACUUGACUGGGCCAUGGUUCUUCUGCUUCCGGUGACAUUGACUAUUGCUAAGACAGCUGGAAUUUCCAAAAUGACCUCACUCAUGUGUCUAGCAAGUAGUGCUCAUGGUUGGCUGGAAGCUUAGCUUGGACUAUGACCAGAAGUUUUGGUUCUCCCCCAAAGACCUCUCCACGUGGAUUACUGGGCUCCUCUCAGUGUGGAAGCUGAUUUCCAACAAGGAGCAUUCAAAGAUUAGGAGUUCCCAGUGUUCAUAAGUGGUUGUAAAUCCUUCUCUUGCAUCAUACUUGCUAAGCACCCACUGGCCAAAUCUAAUCACAUGGCCAAGACCAGAGUCAAUGUGGGUAGGGAUACACAUGGCAAAAUACCAGGAGGCAUGCUUCAUUAAGGAUCAAUAGUAUAGCAAGUUAAUACAACUUCAUGCACUCACUAUUAGAGCUAAUCAAAAAUAGGAGAAAUUACCAGAUCUGAGCAAGGAUAUAGAACUCUGGAAUUCUCAUUUACAUUGUAAGGAGGGGAAAUUUUUGCUGUACAAUCACUGUGAAUAACCAUUUUACAGUAUCUAGUAAAGGUAAAUGAAUGCAUAUCCUAUGACCCUGCAACAAAACCCCACACAUCUGUGCACCAAAAUAGAUGUAUGGAAAUGUUCGGCUGGGCGCGGUGGCUCACACCUGUAAUCUCGGCACUUUGGGAGGCCGAGGCGGGCGGAUCAUGAGGUCAGGAGAUGGAGACCAUCCUGGCUAACAUGGUGAAACCCCGUCUCUACUAAAAAUACAAAAAAAAUUAGCCGAGUGUGGUGGCGGGCGCCUGUAGUCCCAGCUACUUGGGAGGCUGAGGCAGGAGAAUGGCAUGAACCCAGAAGGCGGAGCUUGCAGUGAGCUGAGAUCCCGCCACUGCGCUUCAGUCUGGGCGACAGAGUGAGACUCCGUCUC
Molecule: long non-coding RNA, 3001 nt
Filed under: Homo sapiens (human)
Lineage: Eukaryota; Metazoa; Chordata; Mammalia; Primates; Hominidae
Description: non-protein coding LINC00621:1
Source: RNAcentral